CCUAGGGAGGCUCCAGUGAGGAAUAUUGCACAAUGGGGGGAACCCUGAUGCAGCAACGCCGCGUGGAGGAUGACGCAUUUCGGUGUGUAAACUCCUUUUAUAUGUCAAGAAAAUGACGGUAGCAUAUGAAUAAGCACCGGCUAACUCCGUGCCAGCAGCCGCGGUAAUACGGAGGGUGCAAGCGUUACUCGGAAUCACUGGGCGUAAAGGACGCGUAGGCGGGUUGGAAAGUCAGGUGUGAAAUCCUACAGCUUAACUGUAGAACUGCACUUGAAACUUCUAAUCUAGAGUAUGGGAGGGGGAGAUGGAAUUAGUGGUGUAGGGGUAAAAUCCGUAGAUAUCACUAGGAAUACCUAAAGCGAAGGCGAUCUCCUGGAACAUUACUGACGCUAAGGCGUGAAAGCGUGGGGAGCAAACAGGAUUAGAUACCCGUGUAGUC
RNAcentral lists this ribosomal RNA (439 nucleotides) under uncultured bacterium. RNAcentral describes it as "partial 16S ribosomal RNA". It matches the Rfam family "Bacterial small subunit ribosomal RNA", at positions 338 to 795 of the family's 1533-position model. The record is from RNAcentral.